RNAcentral lists this transfer RNA (85 nucleotides) under Callorhinchus milii (elephant shark). Its description in RNAcentral is "tRNA-Ser (TGA) (tRNA-Ser-TGA-9-1)". It matches the Rfam family "tRNA". Rfam says of the family: Transfer RNA (tRNA) molecules are approximately 80 nucleotides in length. Lineage: Eukaryota; Metazoa; Chordata; Chondrichthyes; Chimaeriformes; Callorhinchidae. The record is from RNAcentral.
GCUGCAGCGAUGGCCGAGUGGUGAAGGCGUUGGACUUGAAAUCCAAUGGGAAUUUCCCGCGCAGGUGCGAAACCUACUCGCAGCG